This is a long non-coding RNA of Nicotiana tabacum (common tobacco), 1915 nucleotides long. RefSeq lists it as uncharacterized. Lineage: Eukaryota; Viridiplantae; Streptophyta; Magnoliopsida; Solanales; Solanaceae. The record is from RefSeq and is a predicted model, not a curated record.
AAUUGAGGCGAUUAGGUCGAUACUUAAAGUAGACCUUCUUGUGGCAAUUUUAGGUCGCCUCUGAUUAUUUUGUUUUGAUAUGUAAAUGUACAUUAAAGUUUAUAGGUUUAGUUCCCAAAUCUUAUUUCCCCCAAAAUUCCAUUCGGCCUUUCCCAAGCAAACCCUAUAUCUCUCCCCAAAAUUCCUCCACACAUCGCUUCUCUGUUAAGUUCCAUGGGCGAUUUCCCUUCUCCCUUCAAGCGUCUCUUUUUCUCUCUCUUAUCUUUCUCCUCCAUAUUAUUUGCUCUAAUCUAACCUAAAUCUACCCGACCCUAGUGAAUCAACUCAAUGUGAAGAGAAUUGUAAGAAACGCACAUAGAUUUUCUGCUCUCUGCCUUAAGGCCUACAAUCGUUAGAUUAUGAGCAAAUGGAUUCGGGGGAUGAUUAUUGGGAAUAUUAGGUUUCGGCGACUGAUGCGGAGCUCAUUAAGCGAGCAUGGCGGAAUCAAAAGGCUGCUCGGCUGGUUUGGUUCAGAGAUCUAGAGAAUAGAUUCAAUUAAUGGUUGUUUUUACUAAUAAAAAGGAAAGCUGGAGCUUGCUGGGCAUCUUUGGCUCGUUUUCUUGCUGAAUUUGGACAAUGUGAACUAGGACACCUUCAGAGAUAGCUAAUUGUACACAACAUCAUGUUAGUUUGGCAGGUUCUAGUUUGAACAUUAAUUUCAUGCGCUUGAAUUCCAUUUGACAUAUAAACGGACCAUCCAUAUGUUCACUUUUGCUGAUCAUUAUCAUGUAUGCUUGUACUCUAUACAGUAAAAAGAAAUAGUUGAUCCAUGAGGCGGUUGUCCCCUGAUGCACCUAUUAUUAUUAUUAUUAUUAUCCCAUUUUCAAGUUACAAACUAAAGAUGGUUGCCGCUGCAUUUUCUUUUGCUUCCAUACUUCCAGCUCUGAGAAUAUAUUUACUGGUGCCAUUUGUGAUAAUGAAUAAUGUCUACUUGAAAUUAGAAUCUAGAAGUACAAGUAGAUCAAAUGUAUUUUGCUGCCUAAGGUCCAUUGACCAAAUCAUCUGUCAAUGCUUGACCUUGAAGACAGUUUAGAGAUAAAUUUAAUUUUGAAUACUUUUGUUUAAUGUCUUUACAAUUAGUAUUUUGCAGAUCACCUUUAUAUCUUUGGCAUGUGUUUUUUCAGAACCAAAAUAUGCUAGUGGAAGGUUUUCUUUUUCUUGAGUAGUGGUAUUUAGAAGAUCGAUUCAAUUUUAAAUCUUGGUAUCUAAGUGAAACAGACUCCAGUUUCUUCCUUCUAGAUGGUUUGUUGUUAAGAAGUUACUGACGAAGAAAAGGACAUCAUAACGAACCUCAAUAAAAAACAAAACAUAAAAGAGAGGUACAUAAUAGUUUGAUCUUGAAGGGCCAAAAUGAAGUGUAUUCAAAUAAAGCAGACUUUUGUUUCCUUCUAUUGGUUUGUCUUGGUGCAGCAUUUAUAUGCAUUGAGUUGGUGUUUGAAAGAAUGAAAAUUUCAUUGUGCUAGUUUUUGCUUUUGGAGUUGGCUGGAGGAUGAGUAGAGUAGCCUUUUCCUUGGCCUGUUUUUUUAUGGUUCGGGGUUACUACUAAUAAUAUGAUUUAGUCCAUAAAUAUGUAAUUGUAAUUUCAUCUCUCUAACUAGAUUUUUAUUGUGGCAAAUUGAUGGCUUUACUUAAGGUGAAUGUUUUGCCUUAUAAUACAAAUAUUUGGUAUUUUGUCUCUGCUUCACCUUCUUUGUUUUGGGAAUAUACUCGCUAUCUAAGUUUUUCUUUUUGACAGUUAAAUGCUUAUUAACUUUUACUGGAAACUCUUCCUUGGGAGUUGAUGAAAGUCAAUUGUUUUAGUUAACUGUAUCAUUACAAUAUUGUAAUUUUGGCUUGAAGAAUGCUUCUGGUUCUAGUUGUAUACAGAUGUUCUAGA